AGAACGAACGCUGGCGGCAGGCUUAACACAUGCAAGUCGAACGCGUGUAGCAAUACACGAGUGGCGCACGGGUGAGUAACGCGUGGAUAUCUGCCUUUUGGUUCGGAAUAACCCCGGGAAACUGGGGCUAAUACCGGAUGGUUCCUACGGGAUAAAGAUUUAUCGCCAAAAGAUGAGUCCGCGUCCGAUUAGCUAGUUGGUGGGGUAAUGGCCUACCAAGGCGACGAUCGGUAGCUGGUCUGAGAGGACAAUCAGCCACACUGGGACUGAGACACGGCCCAGACUCCUACGGGAGGCAGCAGUGGGGAAUAUUGGACAAUGGGGGCAACCCUGAUCCAGCCAUGCCGCGUGAGUGAUGAAGGCCUUCGGGUUGUAAAGCUCGUUUUGCGGGGACGAUGAUGACGGUACCGCAGAAUAAGCCCCGGCUAACUCGUGCCAGCAGCCGC
This 446-nucleotide ribosomal RNA is filed under the name uncultured bacterium. RNAcentral describes it as "SSU rRNA". It matches the Rfam family "Bacterial small subunit ribosomal RNA", at positions 26 to 518 of the family's 1533-position model. The record is from RNAcentral.